GCAAGAAUAUUCUAAGCUCCACUGAGUGGUCCCUGGUGGAAGAUGAAGAAAAAUGAGAAUGUGAAUCCUUGGUGGCUUAGAGAAGCCUAAAAGACUGGACAUUAGGACCAGCCUAGGAAAGAAGUAACAAAAGACUGGCUGCAGUCACCCGAAGGCUCAACUGAGGCUGGAGGAUCCACUUCUAAGGUGCCUGCCUGGAAGACUGGUUCAUGGUUGACAGCUAGACCCUGCAGAAAGGGGAACAGAAGAGGCCAGUGUUGCUGUUUCCGAGGUGA
This is a long non-coding RNA of Cervus elaphus (red deer), 275 nucleotides long. RefSeq lists it as uncharacterized. The record is from RefSeq and is a predicted model, not a curated record. The transcript has 3 exons. Lineage: Eukaryota; Metazoa; Chordata; Mammalia; Artiodactyla; Cervidae.